RNAcentral lists this long non-coding RNA (3003 nucleotides) under Homo sapiens (human). RNAcentral describes it as "HSALNT0299838". The record is from RNAcentral. Lineage: Eukaryota; Metazoa; Chordata; Mammalia; Primates; Hominidae.
AGCAAACACAUUGCGGUCUUCUGGCCUUAUAAAGUUAUUUUUCACACUUACUAAAAUAGAGGGCAUAAUGGUAGCUCCUGAGAGUCACUUUAGGCCCCUGUAGUGUAUGCUUUGUUAUGCUUAAGAAAAAAAAAUUGUAAUUCUUGAUUUUAGAAGGAUUGAAAUAUGUACAUUUCUUUCUUUAAAAAAGAGCUGAUUUUCCUUGGAUGACACAAUAGACAAUUUUCACUUUUACCUAUUCAUAUAACUGAAAAAAAAAUUCUUUGGGAGUGUUUUUCUUCCUUUGCUACAGAAUUAUUUUUUAUUAAAUAACUUCUGUGAUGUAUUUUCUGGAAUCAGUGUGCUACUAUGUGAAAACAAGUUAAGAAAGCUACUGAGAUGCAGUGGUUAAAAUAAUCACAGAUCAAGCUCUUUGCUUUUCUUUUAAUAAAAUAAAUAAAGUUCCAAACCCUGAGAACAAGUUUCACUGGAGUGAAUACUGCAGGGGCAUUUGCCUGGACAUUUUACCCCAUGGACACCGCUGGCCCCGGGAGCAGGUGACACCUCGCUGGGCAGGUCCCUGGGCCUCUGCACACAGUCCCGGGGCCCCUGGAGCAGGUGACACCUCACCGGGCAGGUCCCUGGGCCUCUGGACACAGUCCCGGGGCCCCUGGAGCAGGUGACACCUCACUGGGCAGGUCCCUGGGCCUCUGCACACAGUCCCGGGGCCCCUGGAGCAGGUGACACUUCGCCGGGCAGGUCCCUGGGCCUCUGGACACAGUCUCGGGGCCCCUGGAGCAGGUGACAGCUCACCGGGCAGGUCCCUGGGCCUCUGCACACAGUCCCGGGGCCCCUGGAGCAGGUGACACCUCGCUGGGCAGGUCCCUGGGCCUCUGCACAUAGUCCCGGGGCCCCUGGAGCAGGUGACACCUUGCCGGGCAGGUCCCUGGGUCUCUGGACACAGUCUUGGGGCCCCUGGAGCAGGUGACACCUCACUGGGCAGGUCCCUGGGCCUCUGCACAUAGUCCCGGAGCCCCUGGAGCAGGUGACACCUUGCCGGGCAGGUCCCUGGGUCUCUGGACACAGUCUUGGGGCCAUGGCACAGCACUGGCACCUCUGCCCUCACCAGCCUUUCCCAGGACUGGAGGCCUUGUCUGUCGUUCAGGGUCACAGAAUCUGGAGUCCUCGCUGUUCCCAGCCACACCCAGCCCAGCCUCCUGCUGGGGGCCACAUUUUACCCCAAUUUUUCUGCAUCUCAGGACUUCACAACCAUAUUAGGAGUGGCAGUGAAGUCCAUAACAGACUCGUAGGCUCCUUAAAAAAACUCUCCCUCCACAGCCCCCAGGACUUCCUGGUCACUGCCCGCUCUGAGAUCAGGGAAGCCGUGGGGCCUCUCCCUGCCAGCUUCCAUCCAUGCCCCAAGGAUGGGCUACUCACCCCUAAUUCCUGUCCCUCCCCUGCAAAUGGAGAACACUGGAAAAUUACUCAUCGCAGUCAUUAUUUGUGAGCAAGAAUGAGAUACUUCAUUUAAAGCGGUGAAUGCAGUACCUCGGCAAUCACCAAAAAACAAAAAAUAAAAAUGGAGUCACAAUAUAAAGAACCUCAGGAAAAAGUGAUUUUGCAUCUUCCCAGAAUAAAUCAGUCACUCUAUCACCUGGAACAUGCUAGAUGUUCAGCCAAUGGUUUGUAAAUUAAUUACUUUGUUAUUUUAUUUCAUAUUUAGUAGGACCUGGUUGUAUAAAACCAGAGUAAAACAUGUUAGAAGUCAAGAGCUAGUUCUGAGCAAGUUGUGAUACAUGAGAGCUAUUCAACAAAAUAUUUAAAACUUUGUAACAUGUUUUUUAAUUUUAAAAAUCACAUUUAAAAAGCCAUCAGGAAUGCAGUAGCCACAGCUUUUGCUAAAACAGUUUUUAAAAAUUAUUUUUCCAUAUCUGGGAGAUUUGACCUUUUCGUUUUGCUUAAACUUUUGGUUGACACAUCACGAGUGCACAGGACAGCAGCUGACAACUGCCCCGCGUGCUGGGCACAUGCUUCUGCCUGCUCCAAUAUUUCAAAGCUGACUUAUUGUUUGCUUGAAAUGUGAAUGAGUUACUGAAAAAAUAUUAUGUGUCUCACAGUAUUUCUAUUUUACAGCCUUUAAUAGUUGUUUUGCAGCUUUAAAUCUGUUUGGAAAAUGAUGCCCAAUGACUGUGUGUGGGUUUAUGUCACCUGUGCUCACAGACAUGUGAAGCAAAAACCUUGGCCUGCUCCCCAGCCUCUGUGCAGGACAAGCCAAAGAGCAGGCAGCGGCAGGGCCAAGAGGAUCCAGGCUCCCCCUGGACCACACACGGUCACCGUAAGCACAUGGUGCUCCGGGGGGUCCUGCUUGGUGGGUGGCUCACCCUUAUGUGUCAGGCACCCAUUUUAUAGAUCAAAACGUAGAGGUCUGGAAGUCUCAGAAGCAGCAAGGCUGUGGCCGCUCAGUCUCACAGUCUCACGUCCCAGGUCUUUACAGAGAACCAACACACAUCCUCAUACUUGAAGCUCGAUGAUAAGUACUCAGCGAAAAGUAUCAGGCCAGUGCCGUGACUCACAUCUGCAAUCCCAACACAGUAUCAUCAGGCCAGUGCCGUGACUCACAUCUGCAAUCCCAACACAGUAUCAGGCCAGUGCCGUGACUCACAUCUGCAAUCCCAACACAGUAUCAUCAGGCCAGUGCCGUGACUCACAUCUGCAAUCCCAACACAGUAUCAGGCCAGUGCCGUGACUCACAUCUGCAAUCCCAACACAGUAUCAGGCCAGUGCCGUGACUCACAUCUGCAAUCCCAACACAGUAUCAUCAGGCCAGUGCCGUGACUCACAUCUGCAGUCCCAACACAGUAUCAGGCCAGUGCCGUGACUCACAUCUGCAAUCCCAACACAGUAUCAGGCCAGUGCCGUGACUCACAUCUGCAAUCCCAACACAGUAUCAUCAGGCCAGUGCCGUGACUCACAUCUGCAAUCCCAACACAGUAUCAGGCCAGUGCCGUGACUCACAUCUGCAAU